This 393-nucleotide ribosomal RNA is filed under the name uncultured bacterium. Its description in RNAcentral is "partial 16S ribosomal RNA". It matches the Rfam family "Bacterial small subunit ribosomal RNA", at positions 523 to 918 of the family's 1533-position model. The record is from RNAcentral.
AUACGUAGGUGACAAGCGUUAUCCGGAUUUACUGGGCGUAAAGGGAGCGCAGGCGGAGAUGCAAGCGUGACGUCAAAUUUCGGGGCUCAACCCCGUCUCGCGUCGCGAACUGCGUCCCUUGGUUGCGGGAAGGGGAGGCGGAACUCGUGGUGUAGCGGUGAAAUGCAUAGAUAUCACGAAGAACUCCGAUCGCGAAGGCAGCCUUCCGGCCCGUCAACGACGCUCAUGCUCGAAGGUGCGGGUAUCAAACAGGAUUAGAUACCCUGGUAGUCCGCACAGUAAACGAUGGACACCCGCGGUUUGGCCUGUAUGGCUGAGCCGCCAAGCGAAAGCGUUAAGUGUCCCACCUGGGGAGUACGCCGGCAACGGUGAAACUCAAAUGAAUUGACGGGG